UACGUAGGGUGCGAGCGUUAAUCGGAAUUACUGGGCGUAAAGCGUGCGCAGGCGUUUUGCUAAGACAGAUGUGAAAUCCCCGGGCUUAACCUGGGAACUGCAUUUGUGACUGCCCGGCUAGAGUGUGUCAGAGGGGGGUAGAAUUCCACGUGUAGCAGUGAAAUGCGUAGAUAUGUGGAGGAAUACCGAUGGCGAAGGCAGCCCCCUGGGAUAACACUGACGCUCAUGCACGAAAGCGUGGGGAGCAAACAGG
This 253-nucleotide ribosomal RNA is filed under the name uncultured bacterium. RNAcentral describes it as "partial 16S ribosomal RNA". It matches the Rfam family "Bacterial small subunit ribosomal RNA", at positions 524 to 776 of the family's 1533-position model. The record is from RNAcentral.